CAAUAGCGUAUAUUAAAGUUGUUGCAGUUAAAAAGCUCGUAGUUGGAUUUCGGGGCAGCCUGGCUGGUCCGCCGCAAGGCGAGUACUGGUCAGCCGCCCUUCCUCUCGAAAGCCCCGACUGCUCUUCGUUGCAGUGGUCGGGUAGUUCGGGACGUUUACUUUGAAAAAAUUAGAGUGUUCAAGUCAGGCCUACGCCUGAAUACAUUAGCAUGGAAUAAUGGAAGAGGACCUCGGUCCUAUUUUGUUGGUUUCCAGGGCCGAAGUAAUGAUUAAGAGGGACAGUUGGGGGCAUUCGUAUUUAAUUGUCAGAGGUGAAAUUCUCGGAUUUAUGAAAGACGAACAACUGCGAAAGCAUUUGCCAAGGAUGUUUUCAUUAA
Molecule: ribosomal RNA, 377 nt
Filed under: uncultured eukaryote
Lineage: Eukaryota
Description: partial 18S ribosomal RNA
Rfam family: Eukaryotic small subunit ribosomal RNA
Source: RNAcentral